This 305-nucleotide ribosomal RNA is filed under the name uncultured bacterium. RNAcentral's name for it is "partial 16S ribosomal RNA". It matches the Rfam family "Bacterial small subunit ribosomal RNA", at positions 505 to 807 of the family's 1533-position model. The record is from RNAcentral.
ACAGCAGUAGCCACGGUAAUACGAAGGGUGCAAGCGUUACUCGGAAUUACUGGGCGUAAAGCGUGCGUAGGUGGUGGUUUAAGUCCGUUGUGAAAGCCCUGGGCUCAACCUGGGAAUUGCAGUGGAUACUGGGUCACUAGAGUGUGGUAGAGGAUAGUGGAAUUUCCGGUGUAGCAGUGAAAUGCGUAGAGAUCGGAAGGAACAUCUGUGGCGAAGGCGACUAUCUGGGCCAACACUGACACUGAGGCACGAAAGCGUGGGGAGCAAACAGGAUUAGAUACCCCUGUAGUCCCUGUCUCUUAUAC